UGCACAGUGAUCAGAUCGCGUGUUCUGCGUGAUCACAACAGGAAAAGAAACAACACAACAAUAAAGCAAAUUCCUGCCGAGUGGCUGGGAGUAUAUGGAUAAUCAGGCCCGUUCUCUGUAGCGAUGUCCACGUUGGUUCGGUGGCUGGCUGCGGUGGGUGCUCCGAGGCGUGCCGGGGGCAGAGAGGAAGCUCCAGGUUGAUGAAGGUGAUGGUGAUGAGCAAGGAGAACAAGGGAGAACCAAAGGGGCAAGUCUUUGGUCACGGCAGCUUUCUAUAACCGUGUUUUCGGUCACGCCCGUCCCAUUGUGUGGUCCAAUCAGGAUGGCUGACGUCCAAGUUCAUCCGCCGUUUGUCGCUUGUUUUAGCGGGGGAGCCAGGUGUGGUUCCCCCGCACAAAUCUCUUUGUUUCAACUCACUACAACCAGGAUGAAGGCUUUACAUGCAGGCCACAGUGGUUUCUCUCCUUUAGCAUGUGGGACCUUAAAAAUGAUUCUGUUAAUAAAAGUUUACAGUAUGCACAUGAGGUCCCCCAACACUUCAGGCCACAGAGGGUCACACUACGCUGUCUGUUGGUACUGUGCAUCAGAGCACCUCUCUUUUACAGUCAGGGGGAUGUCUUUCAAAGCUCUGCCCAUUUAGAGGUGAGCCGUUCACAGAAGUCACAGUACAGUAUAGUGGGUUUUAACAGGCUUAACAGCAGGCUGAUAUUGUCAUGCUGUCGUCAUGUCACCACUGUAGGUCUACUUUGGUAUUACAUUUUAUUAGGCAGGUGUGUUAGGCAGUAGCAGUAAAUCCUGGAUGCAUCACAUAUUGGCAUAAGUCUGUUACACUCCAGCAUAUCCAAUGCAUCUGAAUGAACAACAAGACAAGAUAAGGAGCGAUGAACUGGGGCCUGCGUCUGAGCUGCUGUUUCAGAAGCAUACGGCUGAGAUCUGUAAAUGACAGAGACCAAGAGAUCAUGGCAUCAUCCACCCUCCCUCCAUCUCCUUCAACUCCAAAAACACUUCCCACCUUAUGAAGCCCACGGUUCAUCCUCAGCCACCUUCACGCAUGGAGAACCCACAAGCUACAGGCCAAAAACAUCUUCCUUCUGCACUGGGCACUGACUCACCUGGAAGCUGCUGGAACCUCUUUGAAAGUCAUGUUUUUUCCACUUCUCCAGCAUAUUUAGCACCAUUCAGACAGCACUGAACUACUUAGGGAAACUGGAAGGCAGGUGAGGACAAUUGAUGACCUCAUCUACAGGUCACAGCAUGUGAGGCUACAGACCUGUGUCUGAGGUGUUGGUUUGCAGCAUUGGGCUCCUCAGGGUUCUGUGCUGUUUUGUUUUAUACAUCUCAGACUUUACAUACAACACCAGUGUUUGUCAUCUUCUGAGAUUCUCUGAUAACUCAGCAUUGUUGCUUGUGUCUCAAGGGAAUGAGCUUAAGUAUAGGUCAGUCAUUCUUUCUGGACUGGAGUGAAUGGCGAUUGCCUUCCCAGAAAGACACCUACUAACACACUGGUGAACAUCCAGAGUUUGGACAUUGAGAUGGUGAAAGGUUUUAACAGGCCGAGUGUUCAUCUCAACCAGAAACUGGACUGAACCCAUAACACUCAUGCCCUGAAGGGCCAAAUGUGGCUUUCAUGUAUCAAGGGCCUGUGGUCCUGUGUAGGGUUCAGACUCUACUGAGGACAUUCCUUUCACUCACUUUUUCUUUAGUAAGGGUUGCUGGAGCUUACUCCAGCUGUUAAUCAGGCCAUCACAGGGCCAAGUAUAGACACAGACAAACUCGUGACCUAACUGCGUGUCUUUGGACUGAGAACCAAUCCCACCCCACCCCACCCCAGCAGCCUGAUCAUAUCAGCAACACAAGGCAAAUAUUAAUUUAUGUUGCAUGUACAUAGCAUCUUGGUCCUGAAGAAACAUAGUUUACUCUCACUGCAUACUGACAAGUAUAUGGUUGCAAUCACAAUAAAAUACUACUUGACUAGAGGUAGAAUACACUUGACCGCAUGUGUAUUGUUUUUAUUACAAACCAUCAAAUUGUACAGGAGCAAAUAGUCGGUCAAAGGUGAGUCUGUUCAAACCAAUAUGAGGACAACCCUUAACAAAGAGCACAGAAUGAAAGGAAAAAACAAAA
Betta splendens (Siamese fighting fish) is the source of this 2124-nucleotide long non-coding RNA. RefSeq lists it as uncharacterized. The transcript has 2 exons. NCBI's taxonomy places the organism in Eukaryota, Metazoa, Chordata, Actinopteri, Anabantiformes, Osphronemidae. The record is from RefSeq and is a predicted model, not a curated record.